Molecule: ribosomal RNA, 257 nt
Filed under: uncultured bacterium
Lineage: Bacteria
Description: partial 16S ribosomal RNA
Rfam family: Bacterial small subunit ribosomal RNA
Source: RNAcentral
UACAGAGGUCCCAAGCGUUGUUCGGAUUCACUGGGCGUAAAGGGUGCGUAGGUGGCCAGGUAAGUUCGGUGUGAAAGCUCGGAGCUCAACUCCGAAAUGUCAUUGAAUACUAUCUGGCUUUAUUGAGGGUCGGAGGGGAGACUGGAAUUCUCGGUGUAGCAGUGAAAUGCGUAGAUAUCGAGAGGAACACCAGUGGCGAAGGCGAGUCUCUGGACGACACCUGACACUGAGGCACGAAAGCUAGGGGAGCAAACAGG